UUACCAAUUACCCACCGUCUCGCCAGCCUAGCCCAUUCCUCUGUUUUCUACUUUUCUUCCCUCCAUUCAAAUCUUGACGUUCACUCUCUCUCUCCCUGGAAAUUGCUGAUUCAUUAUGUUCUUCAAUUUCAUUUCGUAAUUCGGUACCUCUACCUACAAUUCAAAUCUCUUCGCUCUCGCUGGAUCAAGGUGUCAGUCUCUUAUUAAGCAGCUGGAAUUGAAAGCCUUUGGUGAGAUGGAAUCAUGUUUUAGAUUUUCAAGAACAGAAAUACGUACCAAUUUGAGUUGGUGUUUUUAGGUGCAAUCAUAUGUUAAUACUUUUGAUUUUUGGAGCCCUGUCCCAUUGAGGAGUAUUAUAGAAUGAUAUGUUCAUGUUAUGGUCAAUGGGACUUGUUCUUUUUGCUGUUUUAUAGAUGGGCAAGGUUGAAACUCAUAGUACAAUGACAUGAACAAAUCAAUGUGGCACAUUGGUGUUAUCCUGAUGAAAAAACUCGUCCACUGUUGCAUAGGGUAUAGAGUUGAUUGGAGAAAACUGCUUUUUGUUGGGGUCAUUUUGACAAUAUUUGGCAUCGUGUUUCAAAUGUUUAUACUUCCUUAUCCACUGCACAUGUUGUUUCUGUCACCUCCUGUUAAAUUUUCAUCAUAUGAAUCUUUGAAUGGUACAAUUCCAUUGAGGGAGGCCUUAACUGAGGCAAGGGCUGAACAGUUUCAACUUGUUCAAGCUGGCCCCAUUGUUUCAGUGAAUUCUUCUAUUAAGUUGAUUGAAUCAGUGCCAGUUGAGCAGAUGAGGACGGCCACUCCUCUAAGGAGAAACUCUACAUCUAGAAGGAGAAAAAAGAUUAAACCAGAAGGCAAUCCAAAAGUUCUACCUCCUCCUCCUCCUCCUCCCCCUCCUCGUAAAACCAUUCCAUCUCACUUGCAGAGAUACAUUUGGUCCUUGUCACCAAAUGAGGCGCUUGUGUAUGCCAAAAAAGAGAUUGAACAUGCCCCUAUGGUUGUUGAUGAUCCUGAUCUGUUUACUCCCUUAUUUCAGAACGUCUCUGUUUUCAAAAGGAGCUAUGAAUUGAUGGAAAUGAUACUUAAAGUGUUCAUUUACCGUGAUGGAGCAAGGCCUAUUUUUCACCAACCUCAUCUCAGAGGAAUUUAUGCUUCUGAAGGAUGGUUCAUGAGGUUGAUGGAGGCAAACAGGCAGUUUGUGACAAGAGACCCUGAAAAGGCUCACUUAUUUUAUCUGCCAUACAGUGCACGCCAGCUGGAGACAGCACUCUAUGUACCUGAUUCACAUGAUAUGAAACCGCUAUCAAUCUUCCUGAGGGACUAUGUGAACAUGAUUGCAGCAAAGUAUCCCUUCUGGAAUCGCACACAUGGGUCAGAUCAUUUCCUUGUUGCUUGCCAUGACUGGGGCCCUUAUACAGUUACUGAGCACGAGGAACUAUGCAAAAACACCAUUAAAGCUCUAUGCAACGCUGACCAAUCGGAAGGAAUCUUUAUUGGGAGCAAGGAUGUUUCCCUUCCAGAAACUACCAUAAGGACUCCUAGAAAACCUCUUAGAAAUGUAGGUGGGAAUAGAGUAUCACAACGUCCAAUCCUUGCGUUUUUUGCAGGAAACAUGCAUGGUAGGGUCCGGCCCACACUUCUUAAGUACUGGAGUGACAAGGAUGAAGACAUGAAAGUUUAUGGACCUUUACCAAUUAGAGUCUCCAGAAAGAUGUCUUAUGUUCAACACAUGAAAAGUAGUAAAUACUGUAUAUGCCCAAUGGGUCAUGAAGUGAACAGCCCUAGAAUUGUUGAGGCAAUUUAUUAUGAGUGUGUUCCAGUAAUUAUUGCAGAUAAUUUUGUCCUUCCUUUUAGUGAAGUACUAGACUGGAGUGCAUUCUCUGUGGUUGUGGCUGAGAAAGACAUUCCCAAGCUGAAGGAGAUUUUAUUAGCUAUACCAAUGAGAAGAUAUCUUAAAAUGCAAAUUAAUGUGAAGAUGGUGCAGAAGCAUUUUCUUUGGAACCCAAGACCAAUUAGAUAUGAUUUGUUUCAUAUGAUUCUGCAUUCGAUAUGGUUUAGCAGGCUGAACCAGAUUCAGAUCCCAAGUUCAUAGUAAAUUUUUUAAGUGUUCCUAUGAAUUCAUAUUGGUUUUCAUAGUAUGGUGUAGAAGUUGAAUGGAUCCAAAACUAGCAAGCGCGCUACAUCCAAGAAUGUAGGUGCUUAGCUACUGAGAUUGAGAAGGAAUCCAGAAACACCUUGUUGCCUCAGAGCUGGUUUGAUUUUCACUAAUUUUAAGUGCUUUGAAAUGCAAGCUCGAAUGCAUAUUUGAUGGGAGGAGCACAAAGCCAGAAUGGGGAUUCAUGAUGAAGGAAAGACAAAAGAAAAAGAGGAGUCGUCAUAAUUAUGGUAAUGAGUAAUGACCGUGCAAUUUUUUUUUUGGCUGAAUAGUAAUAACGUGUACUUGUCACUUGACCUCAUUGAUAACGGGAUGGGGUAAAUUUAUUUCGUUGUACAAUCAUAUUUAUAUCUAGGGAGAGAAGGUUAUAGACUUAUAGGGAUUAGGGAGAGAGAGUGAUCAUUUACAGCUUCUUUUAUUUAAGGAAGCGACUUUACGAUCUUAUAAAGCAAUUCAUAAUUUCUACA
This is an RNA transcript of Quercus robur (English oak), 2619 nucleotides long. It is a transcript of the gene named probable glycosyltransferase At5g03795, with no coding region annotated. NCBI's taxonomy places the organism in Eukaryota, Viridiplantae, Streptophyta, Magnoliopsida, Fagales, Fagaceae. The transcript is spliced from 6 exons. The record is from RefSeq and is a predicted model, not a curated record.